GUGUGCGGGGCCGGGCAGUGAGAGCAGAGGCAGUCAGUGUUCGGGCUACAUCGGCGAGUGUCGGAAGGGCGCCGUGUGUUGUGACGAGAACCCUCUGCCAUGCACUGACUGCCGCCCUCACCUCCCUCACCCAACCUCCUGAGCAGCCCGCGCCGCCCCGCCACGCCGUGAUAGCGAUAAGAGGCGGUGGGGCGAUAAGCAGCGUCACGAGAAAACAGUAUGUGCCGGGCAGUGAGUGGGGAAGGGCGCACGCCGGUGAUUCCUUUUGCACAUUGAUUUUAACCCGCGGGAGGCAGGCGAGGCAUUGGUGUGUGUAUGUGUGCGUGUACCUGAGGUGUUCCCAGGUGCAGCGGCAACACACAGGUGACGGGCGCGGUGCUGAUGUGGUGCUGUGUGCUGGCGUGUGAGCGGUAAGUGCAGCCACGUGGUGGGCGUGCAGGCGGUGCGGCCAGAAGUAGGCGCGGCGCCCCCCUCACCGUGGAGACGUGUUGCGGCGAGCGGGAGGAGGCGGGGGGAGUAGGAAGGACUCGAAGGGUUCUGCAGGCCAUGAACGGGGAGGCUGUGGGGGGCGAGGCGGGGGGCGGGGGCCGGGUGGUCACCUCCCAGCCGUCCUACCUCCGGACAGGCUCCACGCCCCCGGCAUACUCCAGCUCCCCGAGGCUGCGGCGCCUAGACGACAUGAAGAAGUCCUACAUGACGGGCGGCGUCGGGAGCGGCGUGGGAGGGGGCGUGGGCUCCUCAUCCACCACGUCCUCCACUUAUAACUCCACUUACGCCUCCAAGUACUCAAGUGGCAGUGGAAACUCAUACCGCCUGGCCUCCCUUGACCGCCUCGCGCAGCGCCACAAACUGUAUGAUGCCACCGGCGCCGCCACGCCCCCUGACGCCAACGGUGGGGUGGCGGCCGACGCUGGAGGAGGAGGAGGAGGCGGAGGAGGCGGAGGAGGGGGAGGGGCAAGAGACACGCCCAAAGAGAACGCCUCCUCCACCGUCAUCGCGUCCGCCGCUGCUCAGGAGUCGGGCAUUCCUGUCGCUUUACAAAGCAAGAGAGAAAUGUUCUUCAAGACAGAGGCAGGCAGUGGGGGUGGUGGUGGUGGUGGCCCCCCAUUAAGUGCCCCCUCCGCCGCCCCACCAGCGCCCCCCGUCAGCGCCCCCUCGUCAGCGCCUCCACCGCCCCCCUCCUCCACCGCCCCUGCCCCCGCCGCCCCCACCUCGGCGCCCCCUGCGAGUGUGGCCUCCAUCAAGGAACAGCUCAUGACAACGAAGGAGAGGAAAGAACAUAAGGAAGAGGAAAAUAAAGAGAACAAGCUGGUGAAGGAGCUGGUGAGAGAGAGGCGCCCCAGGGAGGUGGACGGCUACGUGGGCUUCGCUAACCUCCCCAACCAGGUGUACCGCAAGGCUGUCAAGAGGGGCUUCGAGUUCUCCCUCAUGCUUGUGGGUGAGAGUGGGCUGGGUAAGAGCACACUAAUCAACUCCAUGUUUCUGGCUGACAUCUAUUCCAAUGAUCACCCGGGGCCUUCCCACCGAGUGAAGAAAACUGUACAGGUGGAGACGACCAAGGUGCUGCUGAAGGAGAACGGGGUCAACCUGAUGCUGACAGUCGUGGACACGCCUGGCUUUGGUGACGCCGUGGACAAUAGUGACUGCUGGCAGCCGGUGACCAAUUACGUUGAGUCCAAGUAUGAAGAGUAUCUGAACUGUGAGUCUCGGGUGAAUCGAACACAGAUCAGCGACACCCGGGUCCACUGCUGCCUGUACUUCAUUGCCCCCUCCGGUCACGGCCUGAAGCCCCUGGACGUGGAGUACAUGCGGCGGCUGCAUGACAAGGUGAACAUCAUCCCUGUCAUAGCCAAGGCUGACACUCUCACCCCAGACGAGUGCCAGCACCUCAAGAAACAGGUCCUCAAUGAAAUAGCACAGCACAAGAUCAAGAUUUAUGAGUUCCCUGACGAGGAAGGGGAUGCCACCAGCGCCAAGAUGAAGCAGCGGGUUCCCUUCGCUGUGGUUGGCUCCAACACAACAGUGGAGGUGGACGGGAAGAAGGUGCGGGGGAGGAAGUACCCGUGGGGAGUAGUGGAAGUGGAGAACAUUGAGCACUGUGACUUCAUCCCGCUGCGCAACAUGAUGAUCCGGACACACAUGCAGGACCUCAAGGACGUCACCAACAACGUGCACUAUGAGAACUACCGCUGCCGCAAGCUGGCCGGUGUGGGCGGCACAGAUGGCAAGAUUAAGAUGACCAACAAAUGCCAAGAAGGAAAUGAUACUCAUCCCUGUCCUUCCCACCACAGGAACCCACUAGCACAAAUGGAGGAGGAGAAGAGAGAGCACACAAAUCGCAUGAAGAAAAUGGAGAGUGAGAUGGAGCAGGUGUUUGAGAUGAAGGUGAAGGAGAAGAUGACCAAGCUCAGCGACCUUGAGAGUGACCUUCAGAAACGUAAUGAAUCGAUGCGUAAGAAGUUGGAAGCGGACUUUGCAGAGCUUGAGGAAGAGCGGGAGAGGUUUGAGAAGGAGCGGAAGGCUUGGGAGGCGGCAAAUGGAACCACUGUGGAUGAACUGAGGCGCAAAUCCCUCGAGUCCAUUAGCAGAGACAAAUGGAGCUCUCGAUCAAGCUUGCAUUUCUGGCACCGCUAGCUCGCUCCCGCUUGUUGCCCUCAUCCCUAAGCUUUAGUCCGGCCGCCCCAUGUGCCAAGGGUGUGUAGGACACCACCUCACCUUUGUUUUGCUCGCAGAAGCUUGGCAUGUGGAUGGGAAAGAGAAACCCAAAAAGAGGAAAGGACUGUUUUAAAAAGCAAUGCCGCAGUUUCCACUAUCUUAAAACAACACCUUACCCGUCAAACAAAAAAGAACAAAAAAAAUAUUACUGCUUCAACCACUUCAUUCCACACUUCUUCCCUUGCCUCUCCACUCCCUUCAGUCCCUCCACACUUGUACCCAUUCCUAUUCCUCUCCAUUCAGCCCCAAUCCUUAUUUCAUCCUACUCCCCUUAUACCUCUUCCCCUCUCCUCCUCUGUUUUCAAAGCCCCUCAGAAAUUUCUUCAAAGUUCCCUGUGCCUGAGAACAUUAGUGUUUUGUUGGAGUGUCAGUAGUCCAGCAAGGGAGGCAGCGGUGGCAGUGCCAACACCCAAACUGUCACAGCACUGUGUGGCAUGAGGCGCCAUCCCUGCAGUGCCACACCUGCCUAUAAUUAAGCUUGCUGUCUGCACCGAGGCCAACUCUUAGUGCCUAUGGAGUGUGACUGUGUGGCCUUGAAGAAGUAUUUGGCCUGUAUGCCUUGACACUCCUGUACACACACCUUGUGUACAUGUGAAAAGGUUGUUUGCACUUGAAAAACUGUGCCAACAAACUUAAAAACAAGAAAAGUUACAGGGCUGAAACUCAUAACCCACCCUGAGUGGCAGAGCAGGCAGACAUGUUCAUCUGGGAGGUCAUGCCAAGGACCAUGUUUCCCAGUGCCAAGGAAGUGAUGCUGAGGGCCGCCAGAAGUGCUGCUGUUCACCCACUGCUGCCACAUCAACAUUGACUGCCCAUAGUGCUGGUCCAUUGUGGGCUUGUGUGUCAGGCAGGGCACUCACCACUGCCCACUUCAACAGCCAUCCUCACCCCUUCCCUGCUACCUUGCAUCAUCCUCCACACUCCCCUUGACAUCCCUCAACAUAGCCCCAUGUACCCCUCUACAGUCUCAUGUAGUUAUAUAGCUCCAUACAGCCUCCCUAGCACCAAAACAUUACAUAACAUGCUCAUAGAUCCUAUUCAGUUUGUUACAGCCUCACCUAAAACAAUAUGACAUCUCUCCCCCCCUUCUUUACCUCCCUUCACAGCACCCCAAAGCUCCCCAUAAAUUUUAUAACUUGAUUUCAAUUCCCCUUGGCAUCCUCCAUCAUCUCCUUUCAGCCUCUCUACUGCCUUUAAGUUUAUCUCCUGUGGUGGUUCAUUCCAGUGUGCUGGCAUGGUCCCCUUCCCUCCCUCCCACCCUCACACUCAGGCAUCCCACCUAAUGCUCCUCUGUGGUGCUGGGGGUGGGAGGGGCAGGGGUGCUGUGGUGAGGUGCUGUGGAGGUCUAUACAUCCCUGCCACCUCCCCCCAUGCCACAACCCACAAGUAGUAGUUAGUUCAUAUUCAUCUGUGUCUCAGGGGGGAAGGAGAAGAGCUGUUUACACCUUUCCCUCCCUCCCUGGCAGGCACACUCCAAGUUAAGGAUGAGGUACAGGAUGUGCCCUGACUCCUCACACCAUGCCCUUUUACCGGCCUGUCUCACACCUCAUCAGCACUUGUUAAUUUCCACCUUGCUUUUUGCUCACUGUCAGUCAAGCAGAAUACGCAUAGGUCCCUCAUCGCCAAUGUUCGUAUCAGCUAACAUCCAUGUGCAGGCUUUGAAGACAGGCAGAGUGACCGCCUGACACCCCUGUUUUACUUGAAGCCAGUAUGUGUAAUGACUUGCCAUGUAUGAUGUAUUUGACAUGUGUCUGUUGACCUACAUAGCUGUAUUUUUUAACUCAUCAGAGACCCACUUGACUUCCCCAUAACUGCUUCUUGUCCAUGCUUAAGUUGUCUGCCAGGAGUGCGUUUCGUGUUCAUGUAAUUCAUAACCCCUCUAAGACAUCGAUUGGACUGCAACGUAACAAUGCUUCCUUGUCCCUGCCAGAGUCAUCUGCCGUGGAGAUGGUGGGCUGGCCCGGGACCCAGCGAGGGGCCAGGCUAGGGGCACUACAAAGGCUGGGCUGUGUUGGACCACUAGACUAAAUACGGGGGAAACUUUUUCAUUUGUAAGACAUAGAAUAGCUGCCCUUGCCUUUCUUUGCCCCCGCUGACCCUCCCUGGGGCCGGGUCGGCACGGGUCAGGGGUCACAUCCUUACAUGGUGUAAAUAGUGUACUUACAACUGUAGGAGGUUUAAGUCUGUGUAAACAAAGGGUAUUAUUAGACUAUGUUUUUUAUUAUUAUUAUUAUUAUUAUUAUUAUUAUUAUUAUUAUUAUUAUUAUUAUUAUUAUUAUUAUUAUCAUCAUGAUUUUUUAAGACCUGCCUUUCAUUUUCUACUCUUUUUUUUUUUUUUUAUGAUAAUUAUGAUUAUUAACAUUUUCUUCAUCCUUUCAACUAGUCGUUAUUCCUACAUACAUUUUUUUACUCCCUAUUGUAUUCAGUUCACUGUCUGGCCCACUGCCACUGAACUGUAAAUAAGUGUAUACAUUUAUAUUGUUCAAACAACCAGCCUCUCCCAGGCCUGUUUGUAGCCUCUUCUUAUUUAUCUCUCAAUAAAGUGUGUGCUCUGC
This is an RNA transcript of Scylla paramamosain (green mud crab), 5270 nucleotides long. It is a transcript of the gene named septin-7-like, with no coding region annotated. The transcript has 13 exons. Lineage: Eukaryota; Metazoa; Arthropoda; Malacostraca; Decapoda; Portunidae. The record is from RefSeq and is a predicted model, not a curated record.